UCUCUCUCUCUCCUCACAGGUCUUCAUUUCAGUCUACUGGGGAACCUAGAGGCCAGAGAUUGCGACCUGGGCUUCAUAGCCAAAGGGAGAACACUGUGUGUUGAUAUAGAUGAGUGUAAAGAGUUGGACAGCACCCCACCCUGUGGAAGUAAUACCACGUGUUACAACACACAGGGGAGCUUCUACUGUCAGUGUCUACCUGGGUUUGUAUCCACAACGACUUUCAAGUUUACUCCUCUCACUGGGGAUUGUAAGGACCUCAAUGAGUGCCAGGGGAAACUACAGGUUUGUACCAGCAACGCCAUUUGCCUCAACACAAUCGGGAGGCUUCAACUGCCAAUGCGAACCUGGUUUCAGAUUCUCUGCUUAUGCUGGACACCGUGAAGACCUCGAUGAGUGCCAGGAGACACCUCAGGUUUGUGGCAGCAACACCAGUUGCCUCAACACCUUCGGGAGCUACCACUCCAGUGCCAACCUGGGUUCAGAAUCUCUAAUCACACUGUGAAGGACUGAUGGAAUGUCCAAUUAUCAAGUUUUGCUUGAUGAGUUU
Molecule: long non-coding RNA, 550 nt
Organism: Salvelinus sp. IW2-2015
Lineage: Eukaryota; Metazoa; Chordata; Actinopteri; Salmoniformes; Salmonidae
Source: RefSeq, a predicted model, not a curated record